Molecule: long non-coding RNA, 1206 nt
Organism: Onychomys torridus (southern grasshopper mouse)
Lineage: Eukaryota; Metazoa; Chordata; Mammalia; Rodentia; Cricetidae
Exons: 4
Source: RefSeq, a predicted model, not a curated record
CUGACGUCAGCGCGCCGCGUGCGUCGGGAGGGAGGGGUGAGCGAGGGGGCGUGGCCCGCGGGAGGACGUUCGUGGUUCGCGGACUCGGUUCCGGCCGGGAAGUUCGAACCGAGGUCUGCGAGCUUCAAGCCCUAAGAAGCCGGCGGCAGUUUGGGCUCCUGCGCAGUAGCCGCUGCUCAGCGUCGCUGUGCAAUCGAGUCCUAUUUGAAAGCCGUGGUUGACCGAUGAAUGAAGUUGUCAUGUGUCGAAGGGAACAAGACUGUAUCUCUAAGAUAAUUGCGGCCUUUGGGAAAUACAAAAGAAGAGCCGGAGAGCAGAGACGCGAGCUGAAGUGAGCAGCACUCCAGCUGCACGGUCACGCACAUUUGCACAACCUGCAGGAGACAUUUCCUGAGAGGGCAGCAGCUCUCCCUCAGUCCAUCCUUAGAGCUAUCUUGCCAAGAGAACCUCUGCUGCCAGAGGAAAUCCAGGAGCUUCUGCCUUUUUAUCAGAGGUUUGCAUGCUGCCAGGAGAGAAGAGAAACCAUCGCACUCUGAUGCUAAGAUUGAGAAAUGUGCUUCUCAAUGGAACUUACAAUUUUCUGGAAACUGUGUCAAAAGAUAUGCAUCUUAGGCACAUCAUGUAGUUUUGGUGUGUGUUUCUGUGAAGAGUGGAGGUGGUGGACAAGAAGAAUGGAGGUGUUGGUGGAGAUUUAGCACAACUCGUGAAGUGUCCACGGGAAGCUGCACGGUCGGGGCAGUGGUGUGCGGAUGAAAAUUAAAACCCAGAUUUACUUGACAGCAAAUACGGAAACAGUCAGUCAGGAGCUGAAGAAGGAAGCAAGAGGCCCGGAAGUAAAGAAUGUCUGUGAGAGGGAAUUCUGGGACCCUCUGACUUGAGGGUAGAAGAACGUAACUAGCAAGACAGGAAGAAACUGGGGAGAUAUCUCUGUGGUGAAAAAUACAUAGGUGUGUAUUGUUUGAUGAAUCACACCGUCAUUCAACAAUUUUCUGAUAUAAAGCAUUAUGGACCAGAUGCCUUAUGGACAAGGACUAACCUGUGGCCCAAAGACUUCAGACCACAGUCCAGGAGAGGAGCAUCCAGAGUUGCAGGGAGGGAUGCUUGUGUGUGAAACAGUUCAAAGUGGUAGUCAAAUGGGGCUUUAGUACAGAAGAAGAUGGGUUGUCACUCUGCAAACCAGGAGAGAAGGGAUGAUGCACAAGAGGG